UCAAGUCAUCUCGGAGUUCACGCCUUAAUAAAAGGGAAUCGAUCAAUUAUUAAAACGUUAAAACUCCGAUAUAAGUCGGUGUAAAAUUACGCUAAAACGCUACAAAAAUGUGUACAGCUGUACAGGUUUCUACUUAAUCCCAAAGAGAAGAAGUGCUAUCUGGCUAUUUGGAGGAGAAUAUUGGCUUUAAAAUGCUAUUGACUUUGUGCUAGCGAGCUUCAUGGGACUGUCACAGGCGGUAAACUACUCACAAUUAGGUACCGUGGACUGGUAAUUCCUGCCACUGGGGGGCGCUAGAAACAAUUGCUCGCCACCAUUUACCAGGACCUGUUUUUUUGUCAUUGCUACUUUGACAAAAAAUGGAAAAGAGACAAAUCCACGAUAAACACAAGAUUCCCUUAACUAUCCGGAUGAAGCUGUGUGGAAAAGGAGAUGCUCGGAGAGGCCACAGCAUGAAGCGUCGCACACAGUUUGCGGUUGCAUAGUACAGUACAUAGAGAUCCUAAUUUGAAAACAGCAUGCUGCUUUGUAUUGCACAUGACUGAAACCUUGCUGUCAUAAUUCCAGCACGUGUGUGGACUGUGGAGCAUCUGACUUUAUGUACAUUAUAAAAAUAAUCACAAAUAGGUAUUUUUUGACAGGAAUAAUUUCCCCUCUGUUGUGUUUCAUCUAAUUACAGCUCUCUCGUGGCAUAUAAUACUGUACUGUGGGGAAUACUUGCUCCUCUUGCUCUUUAUUUGCAAUAUCUGAUGCGCUUUAGGGAUUACCUAUUUAACCUAUUUGAAAAUACCAAAAACAAUGUUUUUAAAGUCAUUUGAGCGUUAGGUCAGGAUGUUCACCUU
Long non-coding RNA from Nerophis ophidion (straightnose pipefish), 842 nucleotides. RefSeq lists it as uncharacterized. The record is from RefSeq and is a predicted model, not a curated record. The transcript has 3 exons. Lineage: Eukaryota; Metazoa; Chordata; Actinopteri; Syngnathiformes; Syngnathidae.